Long non-coding RNA from Mytilus trossulus (common blue mussel), 280 nucleotides. RefSeq lists it as uncharacterized. The transcript is spliced from 3 exons. The record is from RefSeq and is a predicted model, not a curated record. NCBI's taxonomy places the organism in Eukaryota, Metazoa, Mollusca, Bivalvia, Mytilida, Mytilidae.
AAGAGGAUGGGGUGGUACAGCCAAGAGAAGUGAGGUCUCCUUUAAGAUCGUUAAAUGACCACAGUGAUUCUGAAGAGGAAGACUUUAGACCUCCAAGAAAGUCAACCCCACAACCAAAUAGUGCAAGGCCACAAUCUCAACUGCCAACUCCACCUGCUUAUCACAAUCCUACUCAGAAAAAAUCUGGGUUUCAAGCCAGUAGGCCUUCCACCGGUCUAUCCUUGUCUACAUUGCAAGCCAGGCCUUCCUCCAGUCUGUCCUGUUCUACAAUACAAGCCAG